CUCCUCCCUAUCCGUCUGGAAAAGUGGGAACUCCUUGACAUUUUGGUGGAAAGCAGGGGCAGAGACUGUAACAAGAAAGCCUUCAUUCUAGAAAGCAAACCUAGGGAACUCUUUUGGAAGAAGGAGGGGUAUUCCUUCACUCACUGAGUCAGCGGAUGGUCUGGAAACAAGAUGCUGAACAAGCCUGGAGGAGGAGGCAGCCUGACUCCUGUCUGCAGGCAGGAAAGGCUCCUCCCAGCUGAACCGCGGAGCCAGAAAUGGAGGAAGUCACGGCGACAAUAAGAGCAAAACGAUCCAGACAAAAUGUGUUACUAUUGCUGACCACUGAUGACACUUACACUGUCAACAACCCUACAGAAAUACUCGUAAAUGCCUGUGUUUGCAAGCAUAUUCAGUGCAGCAUGGAUUGCAAGAAUGGAAAAACAGAAACUACCUCCAUUCCCAUCACUGUCAAAUACAAUACUGGACAGCCACGAAAGAGGAUUGCAGCUGGCUCCAUUAUGGCCUCAAACUUCCCAGUUGGGUUCUUCUUUCCAACUUCUCUCUGGGCUCAGGUGGAAGGUCCCAAGGGCAAAGCAGCCCCUGAGGCAACCGAAACUACCCCCUCAAGAAGCAGGAGGACCAGCCCAAGCCAGCAAGGCCCACCCAUGAUUGACCCCAAGAUAAUGACCAAUCUGCCCUUCACUGCCCACCGGCACAGACUCACCCGCCUUUGCCCCACAUUUUCCUUAUAUAAACCUGGCAGGAAUCCCGGCACUUUGGAGACAGUCCUUGAGAUAUUGGUGUGCUGUCUUCCCAGUGUUGCCCUCACUGAAAUAAAUUCCUUUCUUGUUCCACCACUGCUCAUUCCUCUGCCUUCGGAUUUUGUCAGUGGCGAGUGGCUGCACCUGGUCUGUUUGGGGUCCCUGAAGCUAACUUCUCUUGCACCCCUGUGCCCCGGCUACAGCUUUAAAAACAACAACAGUGAUAGGCCUACACUGAAUUCACUUGCUGCAAGCCUUCCCCUGCUCUGAGCACUUUGUUAUCUCAUUUAACGUCACAACAAUCCUGGCACAGUUAUUUCCCCGUUGAGGAAACCAAAGCUUAGGUGUAUUGACCUAUUUUUGCCCAAAACUGAAUUCCACUCCACAGCAACCAAUCUCCCUGUUCUUUAAGCAAAUUUUAGUUGUUUUUUAAAGUAAAGACCAUGGAAAGUAAAAAAAAAAAAAAAAAAAAAAAAAAAAAGCUUCUAGAAAGUAACUAGAAUAUCUUCAUGACCUUGGGGCAGGCAAAGAUUGCCUGAGCAGGACAUAGAAACUAAGCUCCCUGCACUUCAGAACAAGCAGUGGGUAUUAAUUGCCCAUUUACUCCCGUGCAUGUUCUCUCCUCGCACACAGGGUAAGUAGAAGGACUGCCCAGCGGAACUGGCUCAGCAUAUGAAGUUCUACUUUACUUUUCAGUUCGGGACUGCAGCAGGAAACGAGAAGGUUAGAAACUCAGGGAAGGGGGAACCCAUCGCUGUGUCACUGCCAACCGAGGCCUGAUCAUCCGGGUGACGGACACCAGGGGGCACCCUUCGGACAGUG
Molecule: long non-coding RNA, 1565 nt
Filed under: Felis catus (domestic cat)
Lineage: Eukaryota; Metazoa; Chordata; Mammalia; Carnivora; Felidae
Description: lncRNA (ENSFCAG00000045210.2)
Source: RNAcentral